This is a non-coding RNA of Glycine max (soybean), 72 nucleotides long. Lineage: Eukaryota; Viridiplantae; Streptophyta; Magnoliopsida; Fabales; Fabaceae. The record is from Rfam.
UCCUCAGUAGCUCAAUGGUAGAGUGGUCGACUAUUAAUUGUCUGGUCAUAGGUUCAAAUCCUACAUGGGGAG